RNAcentral lists this long non-coding RNA (669 nucleotides) under Carica papaya (papaya). RNAcentral's name for it is "long non-coding RNA (CPAP_LNC014844)". Lineage: Eukaryota; Viridiplantae; Streptophyta; Magnoliopsida; Brassicales; Caricaceae. The record is from RNAcentral.
AACCUUGUGAUAAGUUAGAGACCCAUGUGGAGAAUGGAGAUAUGACAAUAGAAAUGAGGAAAAGGUUGUGUAAUGGUGUGCUUCUAGGACACACUAGGAAGGUGAAUUAGAGCCCAGAAAGAACUAAACGGGUUUGAACAACGGUCUAAGAAGGGGAAAAAUAAAAAAAGAUGGGAAUUAAGAAAGUUAUUGGGUCUCACAACCAAGGAAAGGCUCAGCCCCAAGAAUUCUACCACAAGAAGAAACCCAAAACAUCAUAUGGGUAUUGGUACCCAUUGGAUACACGUGUGUGGGCAUGCACAUGCACGAAACAACAUACCCGCAUAUGCAAGAUUUCUGUCUGCAAGGAGAAGCACGCAGAACGUGAAGGAGCGGUGCGCAGUAAGAGUGAGCAUCCACGAGCGCAAGCAUAAGCCAGAUGUGCGCAGGAGCAGGCCCAUGUGCGAGUAACCCCUACUACACGCUCGACCAUCUAUGUGCACGCAAGGGACUUUUUGCAUGCGUUAGGCACACACUACCAACAACCUGUAUGCCACUUGCACGCGGCCAGGCUGAUAGCUGCAUGAUGAGUCCUACUCAGACUCUUUUCUCCCCUUUUUCCUAAUUUUCGUAUAAUUCCAAGCUACAAUAGUUUUACAAAGUAUGCCAUGUAAUUAAAGUGCAAAAUUG